GGCAGUAUAGCUCAGUUGGUAGAGCAUACCCUUCAUACGGGUAAAGUCGCAGGUUCGAUCCCUGCUAUUGCCAC
This 74-nucleotide transfer RNA is filed under the name Gordonia phage Sixama. RNAcentral describes it as "tRNA-Met". It matches the Rfam family "tRNA". From Rfam's summary of the family: Transfer RNA (tRNA) molecules are approximately 80 nucleotides in length. Their secondary structure includes four short double-helical elements and three loops (D, anti-codon, and T loops). Lineage: Duplodnaviria; Heunggongvirae; Uroviricota; Caudoviricetes. The record is from RNAcentral.